UAGGGAAUCUUCCACAAUGGGCGCAAGCCUGAUGGAGCAACGCCGCAUGAGUGAAGAAGGUCUUCGGAUCGUAAAACUCUGUUGUUAGAGAAGAACAUGCAGGAGAGUAACUGUUCUUGUAUUGACGGUAUCUAACCAGAAAGCCACGGCUAACUACGUGCCUG
Molecule: ribosomal RNA, 164 nt
Filed under: uncultured bacterium
Lineage: Bacteria
Description: partial 16S rRNA
Rfam family: Bacterial small subunit ribosomal RNA
Source: RNAcentral